This 466-nucleotide ribosomal RNA is filed under the name uncultured bacterium. Its description in RNAcentral is "bacterial SSU rRNA". It matches the Rfam family "Bacterial small subunit ribosomal RNA", at positions 338 to 795 of the family's 1533-position model. The record is from RNAcentral.
CCUANGGGUGGCUGCAGUGGGGAAUUGUUCACAAUGGGCGCAAGCCUGAUGACGCAACGCCGCGUGGAGGAUGAAGACCUUCGGGUCGUAAACUCCUUUCGACCGAGAUGAAUAUCCAUCGACCCAACACGUCGAUGGAGUGACAGUAUCGAGGGAAGAAGCCCCGGCUAACUCUGUGCCAGCAGCCGCGGUAAUACAGGGGGGGCAAGCGUUGUUCGGAAUUACUGGGCGUAAAGGGUUUGUAGGUGGCUCGCUAAGUCAUACGUGAAAUCCCUCAGCUUAACUGGGGAACUGCGUCUGAUACUGGAGAGCUUGAGUGCAGGAGAGGAACGCGGAAUUCCAGGUGUAGCGGUGAAAUGCGUAGAUAUCUGGAGGAACACCGGUGGCGAAGGCGGCGUUCUGGACUGCAACUGACACUGAGAAACGAAAGCCAGGGGAGCAAACGGGAUUAGAUACCCCANUANUC